Malurus melanocephalus (red-backed fairy wren) is the source of this 684-nucleotide long non-coding RNA. RefSeq lists it as uncharacterized. The transcript has 3 exons. NCBI's taxonomy places the organism in Eukaryota, Metazoa, Chordata, Aves, Passeriformes, Maluridae. The record is from RefSeq and is a predicted model, not a curated record.
GUCUGUCAUUGCUGCUUACCUGGGACAGCCACAGAGGCCUCUAAUUGUUGGGAGAGGCUGUGGGCGGCCGGAUAGGAAUCUUGGAAUAGGCUGCUGCCUUCCCAGCAGGGAGAGCCCAGCCACCUAGGAGAAAGAGGAAGAAGAUGAGCAGGAGAGGAGAAGGAAAAAGAAGGGAAAGAUAGGAAAGAAGCAGGGACCUCUGUGCAGCUCCAAGGACUGCAGAGAUGAGCCUGGGGUCAGCAGACAAGAAGGACUUUUACCAGCCAAAGUCGGAGAGCAGCCUCGCUAGGUUUGCCCACCGCUUGUCGGUGAAGCAGAAGCAGGAGAAGAGAAGGAAAGCUGAGUAUGGCUCAGCCGAGCUGUCUGCCUUCCGGCCCAGGUCUUUGAGCAUUGAAUGGUAAGAGCUGCAGGACAGGGCUGUGACAAGGAGCUCCUGCCUCUCCAGUCACCCUCCUGUCCUCUUUCCCCACUGCUGCCACUCUCCGUCCCUGUCAGCACAAUGUCCCAUGGGACAACACCUCCUCAAAGCUCUCUCCUGCUGCAGAGCUYCCCCAGAGCUCUGUAUCAAACCAGAACAUCCCCCACCUGGGCCAGUGCAGGGAGCAGGAGGGAUUCUCGGGCUUCUUCCUUGGGGAGCUGGAAGUCUGUCAGGGCUCAUGUGGGUAAUGGAAGUGUCUGCGAGGC